UUGAAGGCACGCCCCAGGGCCAGCACUU
This 28-nucleotide non-coding RNA is filed under the name Rattus norvegicus (Norway rat). The record is from RNAcentral. Lineage: Eukaryota; Metazoa; Chordata; Mammalia; Rodentia; Muridae.